Molecule: ribosomal RNA, 253 nt
Filed under: uncultured bacterium
Lineage: Bacteria
Description: partial 16S ribosomal RNA
Rfam family: Bacterial small subunit ribosomal RNA
Source: RNAcentral
UACGUAGGGUGCAAGCGUUGUCCGGAAUUAUUGGGCGUAAAGAGCUCGUAGGCGGUCUGUCGCGUCGGAUGUGAAAACCCAGGGCUCAACCCUGGGCCUGCAUUCGAUACGGGCAGACUAGAGUUCGGUAGGGGAGACUGGAAUUCCUGGUGUAGCGGUGAAAUGCGCAGAUAUCAGGAGGAACACCGAUGGCGAAGGCAGCCUCCUGGGCCAAUACUGACGCUCAUGCACGAAAGCGUGGGGAGCAAACAGG